Long non-coding RNA from Schistocerca americana (American grasshopper), 265 nucleotides. RefSeq lists it as uncharacterized. The record is from RefSeq and is a predicted model, not a curated record. The transcript is spliced from 3 exons. Lineage: Eukaryota; Metazoa; Arthropoda; Insecta; Orthoptera; Acrididae.
CUUCUGUAGCGAAGCAUUAUCUUUGAUUGAUGAGCUUUGGGACGCUAACAAGAAGACAACGAUAGUAAAACGUUCCUCUGUGGCCGGAGCGAAGCAGCGGGCAGACGCCACUGGCGGACGAGGGCGGAGGGCGUCGCCCACAGGAGCCGUAGGACGUAGCGCCUCGGCGUAGUGUCGGCCGAGCGGAGCAUGGAGACGGAGGCGGGGGCGGCGGCCGCCGCGGCCGGCAGCUCGGCCGCCGCGGCCGGCAGCUCCGGCACGCGGG